Molecule: ribosomal RNA, 405 nt
Filed under: uncultured bacterium
Lineage: Bacteria
Description: bacterial SSU rRNA
Rfam family: Bacterial small subunit ribosomal RNA
Source: RNAcentral
UCAGGGAUCUUGCACAAUGGGCGAAAGCCUGAUGCAGCGACGCCGCGUGAGUGAAGACGGCCUUCGGGUUGUAAAGCUCUGUUUACGGGGAAGAGACGAGACGGUACCCGUAGAGGAAGCCCCGGCUAACUACGUGCCAGCAGCCGCGGUAAGACGUAGGGGGCGAGCGUUGUCCGAAGUGACUGGGCGUAAAGCGCGCGUAGGCGGCCCGUUAAGGGGGGGGUGAAAGGCUCCGGCUCAACCGGAGGAGGGCCUCUCCGACUGGCGGGCUUGAGGGCAGGAGAGGGGAGUGGAAUUCCUGGUGGAGCGGUGAAAUGCGUAGAGAUCAGGAAGAACACCCGUGGCGAAGGCGGCUCUCUGGUCUGUGCCUGACGCUGAGGUGCGAAGGCGUGGGGAGCGAACGGG